AGUAGUUUGAUCAUGGCUCAGGAUGAACGCUAGCUACAGGACUUAACACAUGCAAGUCGGAGGGGCAGCAUAGGCGGAAGUCUUGUCUUCUGCUGAGUGGCCGACCGGCGCGACGGGUGAGUAACGCGUACUACCACCUUUACCCUACGAGGUAGGGAUACGCCGGCGAAAGUCGGAUUUAAUACCCUAUGUUCUUCUUCGAUGACAUCUGACGAGAAGCAAAGGUUCACCGCUAUAGGAUGGGGAUGCGUCUGAUUAGCUUGUUGGCGGGGUAACGGCCCACCAAGGCUACGAUCAGUAGGGGUUCUGAGAGGAAGGUCCCCCACAUUGGUACUGAGACACGGACCAAACUCCUACGGGAGGCAGCAGUGAGGAAUAUUGGUCAAUGGGCGAGAGCCUGAACCAGCCAAGUAAGCGUGCAGGAUGACGGCCCUAUGGGUUGUAAACUGCUUUUAUACGGGGAUAAAGUGAGGGACGUGUCCCUUAUUGUAGGUACCGUAUGAAUAAGGACCGGCUAAUUCCGUGCCAGCCGCGGC
Molecule: ribosomal RNA, 536 nt
Filed under: uncultured bacterium
Lineage: Bacteria
Description: bacterial SSU rRNA
Rfam family: Bacterial small subunit ribosomal RNA
Source: RNAcentral